RNAcentral lists this ribosomal RNA (330 nucleotides) under uncultured eukaryote. RNAcentral's name for it is "partial 18S ribosomal RNA". It matches the Rfam family "Eukaryotic small subunit ribosomal RNA", at positions 1470 to 1796 of the family's 1831-position model. The record is from RNAcentral.
CCCUUAGAUGUUCGGGGCCGCACGCGCGCUACACUGAAGGAAUCAGCACGUCUUUCUCCUUGUCCGAAAGGACUGGGUAACCCGCUGAACCUUCUUCGUGCUAGGGAUUGGGGCUUGUAAUUCUUCCCCAUGAACGAGGAAUUCCCAGUAAGCGCGAGUCAUAAGCUCGCGUUGAUUACGUCCCUGCCCUUUGUACACACCGCCCGUCGCUACUACCGAUUGGAUGGUUUAGUGAGAUCCUCGGAUUGGUCCCGGCGCGGCCUCUGGUCGUGCCGGAGUGCCGAAAAGAAUGUCGAACUUGAUCAUCUAGAGGAAGUAAAAGUCGUAACA